Non-coding RNA from Caerostris darwini, 94 nucleotides. The record is from the annotation of a GenBank genome assembly. NCBI's taxonomy places the organism in Eukaryota, Metazoa, Arthropoda, Arachnida, Araneae, Araneidae.
ACGGCCAUACCACGUUGAAUAUACCGGUUCUCGUUAGAUCACCGAAGUCAAGCAUCAUUGGGUGGGUGACCACCUGGGAACACCGCGUGCCGUU